UGGGGAAUAUUGCACAAUGGGCGGAAGCCUGAUGCAGCGACGCCGCGUGGGGGAUGAAGGCCUUCGGGUUGUAAACUCCUUUCGACAGGGACGAAGCUUNAGUGACGGUACCUGUAUAAGAAGCACCGGCUAACUACGUGCCAGCAGCCGCGGUAAUACGUAGGGUGCGAGCGUUGUCCGGAAUUACUGGGCGUAAAGAGCUCGUAGGUGGUUUGUCGCGUCGUCUGUGAAAUUCCGGGGCUUAACUCCGGGCGUGCAGGCGAUACGGGCUGACUUGAGUGCUGUAGGGGAGACUGGAAUUCCUGGUGUAGCGGUGAAAUGCGCAGAUAUCAGGAGGAACACCGAUGGCGAAGGCAGGUCUCUGGGCAGUAACUGACGCUGAGGAGCGAAAGCAUGGGUAGCGAACAGGAUUAGAUACCCUGGUAGUCCAUGCCGUAAACGGUGGGCGCUAGGUGUAGGGGGCUUCCACGUCUUCUGUGCCGUAGCUAACGCAUUAAGCGCCCCGCCUGGGGAGUACGGCCGCAAGGCUA
RNAcentral lists this ribosomal RNA (530 nucleotides) under uncultured bacterium. RNAcentral describes it as "bacterial SSU rRNA". It matches the Rfam family "Bacterial small subunit ribosomal RNA", at positions 355 to 896 of the family's 1533-position model. The record is from RNAcentral.